AGGGUUUGAUUAUGGCUCAGGACGAACGCUGGCGGCGUGCUUAACACAUGCAAGUCGAACGGUUCUCGAAGUUCGAGGUUGGAUGUUCGAAGUUCGAAAGAGCAGGAAUUCGCAAAGCGAAUUUCAACAAACAUCGAAUUCACGAAUGCCGAACCUCGAACUUCGAGGAUAGUGGCGGACGGGUGAGUAACGCGUGGAUAACCUGCCUGACAGCCUGGGAUAACGCCGGGAAACUGGUGCUAAUACCGGAUACGUUCCUUGUGUUGCAUAACAUAAGGAAGAAAGGGGAAACCCGCUGACAGAUGGGUCCGCGUCCCAUUAGCUAGUUGGAGGGGUAACGGCCCACCAAGGCGACGAUGGGUAGCCGGCCUGAGAGGGCGACCGGCCACACUGGAACUGAGACACGGUCCAGACUCCUACGGGAGGCAGCAGUGGGGAAUCUUCCGCAAUGGGCGCAAGCCUGACGGAGCAACGCCGCGUGAGUGAAGAAGGUUUUCGGAUUGUAAAACUCUGUCCAGGGGGAAGAAGUAAGUGACGGUACCCCUGGAGGAAGCCCCGGCUAACUACGUGCCAGCAGCCGCGGUAAAACGUAGGGGGCGAGCGUUGUCCGGAAUUACUGGGCGUAAAGG
This 629-nucleotide ribosomal RNA is filed under the name Desulfotomaculum sp. enrichment culture clone K4. RNAcentral's name for it is "bacterial SSU rRNA". It matches the Rfam family "Bacterial small subunit ribosomal RNA", at positions 8 to 566 of the family's 1533-position model. Lineage: Bacteria; Bacillati; Bacillota; Clostridia; Eubacteriales; Desulfotomaculaceae. The record is from RNAcentral.